CUCAUUCUCAGUGAACAUGUCUUAUGCACCUUUUCUAUGUCGCUUUUUUUGCAAGAAUCACACCCCUUAAUUUUCUAUUCCAGGAAAUGAAACAUCUGAACCCCCAUCAUGCGUGCAUCUUUGCAUGUUCAAUGGAGGCUGUGAUAUGGGACUGCAGAGGGUCUUUCCAGCAGGGAUUUCUUCAGUAUAGGCUUAAGGCGAAAGAAUUUGUGGGGGUCACACUCAGCUCGUGGAUGCAGCGGAGCAAGCAGGCUGUAACCUCUCCGAGGCAGGUUUUCUGUGUGUUUUCAUGAAGCACUUUUGGAGGAAAGUCGUGCAGGAGGGAAGAGUGUUCAGGAGCAAGUGAUAUCUCCAGGAAGUGAAAUUAAUCUAUUCACUAUCACCCAGAGCCUGACAAUUGAUUAUGGCAAAUGUAUCAGCCCAGAGGUAAACACAAAGGAGUUUAUUAAUGUGGGUGGAAUGAUUGGCAUGAAAUAGAAAUAGUAUUUAGCAUUUGUAAAGCAUUAUUAUUCUGAUUAAACGAAACAAUUUU
RNAcentral lists this long non-coding RNA (532 nucleotides) under Calidris pygmaea (Spoon-billed sandpiper). RNAcentral's name for it is "lncRNA (ENSCPGG00000013665.1)". Lineage: Eukaryota; Metazoa; Chordata; Aves; Charadriiformes; Scolopacidae. The record is from RNAcentral.